Molecule: non-coding RNA, 423 nt
Filed under: Pan troglodytes (chimpanzee)
Lineage: Eukaryota; Metazoa; Chordata; Mammalia; Primates; Hominidae
Source: RNAcentral
GGGGACUUUGGGCCCCAGGGUAACAGCUUGACCUCUGGAGGCACUGGAGACAAAGAUCAGCCACAUGGCAGUCAACCAUGUCUAUCUGACCAAGUUCCAAUGAAAACUCUGGACACCAAGGCUUGUGAGAUAUUUCUCAAAAGACUCCUCUGCGGGAGAGGAGAAUAGAGAAAGAAAGAAAACAACUGUGUAAGCAGACAUCAGUGUAAACCUUAGCACUGUCUCUUGAUGAGAUAAGAGGAGGAUGGCAGUGACAGGAGUGUGGUGGCGAGCCAGUCACCUGCAGUCAACCACGGCUCAUUGCUCUCACCAUGCCUGUUACAUGAAGGUAUGUAUGUAUAGGAAAAAGCACUGAAAAACUCUCCAGUUUCAGGCAUCCACUGGGGAUCCUGGAACGCAUCCUCCAAGGAUAAGUGGGGUCUA